UGGACAGAUUAUUGUAUUCGACUGUAUUCACGGCGUAAAACAGAAAAUUACACUGUUUUUUUAAACGGAAAGUGAAUCAAUUAACAUAAUAGACUCCU
This is a microRNA precursor of Nicotiana attenuata, 98 nucleotides long. It matches the Rfam family "MIR6152 microRNA precursor family". The record is from Rfam. Lineage: Eukaryota; Viridiplantae; Streptophyta; Magnoliopsida; Solanales; Solanaceae.